GCAAGUUCUUUUGCCAAUGGCAACCAGCAGAGCUUCCCCUGAAGAUUGGAGGGGAUGAGUCAGGGGCAAGGAAGGAUUAACAGAUUCUGCCUCAAGUCCUGGUGAACCAACUCCUCUCCCCAAGACAGACACAUACUAGUGAAAUAAAUUGGAUUUAAAUCAUCACCUGAGGCAAUCCUGAAAGAGAAAAGCAGUCCUAGAAAAGAGUGGAGGAAAAGAGGACAGCCCCAUUCUCUUUGUGACCACGAAGACUGCCGCCAUGUGGUUGGGAGCCACGUAACUUCUUUUAGUGCCAGCUGAGAUUCUUCUGCCCUGGAACUAGUUCCUCCGAGUUAUUGCCAGGCCUGGAGAUUGAAUUCCUGCAGCUGGAAGGUGGGGAAAGUUGCCAGAGCGAAGGAAGUAAAAGCAUCCACUAUGAGAUUCACCAGAGGGGUUUGACCAGCUUUAGAAGGAGAAUCCUGGACAACAACACAUGCAGCUGUGAAGGCGACAAGUGUGACACUGACAGCCAACUGAAAUGGAAGGAAUGUGAAGAUGCUGUCAUAAACAUUUCUACCGCAUGUGACAGCUUUAACAAUACUUGCAAGGUCGUCAUCGCAAAAUGUUGUGAGCACCUACCAUAUGCCAGGCACUGUUCAGUGAACUGGUUGUACAGGAGUGAAUGAGAUCAUCUUGAUUUUGAGAAGUUUAUAAUCUACUCAAGGGAAACACGUGUAAUCAACUAUGUUUCAGACAUAACCCCUCAAAACCAAAGCAGAACCUCUUCAAGGAGCUGAGAGAUGCAAGCCUGGAGGAGAAAAGCGGGGCAGCAUCAAACCCCUCCCACUGGGGCAACCUGCUGAGCAUCUCCCUGGCCUUGGCCCCUGGCCAUACCACACAAGUGUCCAAUGAGUCACUGAUCCUGAAGAACAAGAGAAGACUGACCACAGACCCCAAAAGGAAGCAGGAGUACAACCUUCGAAGUUGGUGGGCAACAAGAGGUCAGAGGUUGACAAGCAUCCACACAGCUCUAAGACUAGCAUCAUGUGGCUACCCAGGACCUGGGAGAGUGCUGCAGAGCAGGAGCAGGAAAGGGACCGGCUGUUCCCAUAGAACUUCAUGUCACAGGUCUGGGAGCCAGGGGGCCUUGGUUCUAGUCCCAACUCUCCCUCUAAGUUGUCUUAUGGCCACAGCAAUGAACCAAGACAAUGAGAAGUAGCGAGUACAGUUGAGGAGGCCUUGUCUGAGGAGGAGGCAGGUUUUCAUGAAGAUGCAGCAGAUCAUCUGGGAGAAAUUGAGAAUGAGGAAGGACUUGAUAAUAGGGCAUCUUAGUUCUGCUGAACACUCCUGAAUAAAGGGGAGGCCACAAGUCCCCACAUCUGGAUAAGGAGCCCAGUUGGUGGGCAUGGAACGGACCUUGACACAGAAGAGAAUGGAGAUAUGGGAGCCAUGUCCUGGAACCCUGGCUUGGUGUUGAAAUAAAUUAGAAGCUGACUUGCUGUGCAGCUGGUAAAGCUUCCACUUCGGGGCCCUUCAGUUGCAUGGGCCUUUCCCAAGACCCCAGGGAAGGGCUUAGCAAUAUGCUCACAUGGUCUGAUGUUCUUAUAUGCAAACAAUUUUUUUAGAGAUAUCUUAAAUAUGCUUGCUCAACACCUCUGUCCACUUCUGCCUUCCCUCCAUCCUUCUUCUUCUUGCCUUGAGUGUGUUUGGAGAUCAUGGGGGCUUUGAGGCUCCAUCUAAGAGGAAGUUAAAUGGAAGAUCCAGUUAGCUGGGUUUCAUGGGAUAUAUUUGUGAGGUUCACAGUCACUGUUGUGUCGGGUUAAGUUACUGCUAGCUGUCCCAGUAUGGAGUAGAUUCCAGGAAUACUCCUGAGGCCCCCGUGCUGACCUGCCCUACAGUGAUGUGAUUGUACAGGGCCAGGUCAUACCGUGAUCAGGACGUGGCCUGUGUACUGGCACUGUACGGCUGGAUAGUGGAAGAGAAGCUAGGAUAAACAUGUGCAGACCAAAACUGGUCUGUGGAAAAUUCUCCCUAUCAUCAGACACGUACAAAGCUAAGCAGAGGAUUCUGUUUUCAAAACACCUG
RNAcentral lists this long non-coding RNA (2064 nucleotides) under Homo sapiens (human). RNAcentral's name for it is "HSALNT0345500". Lineage: Eukaryota; Metazoa; Chordata; Mammalia; Primates; Hominidae. The record is from RNAcentral.